RNAcentral lists this microRNA precursor (95 nucleotides) under Myotis lucifugus (little brown bat). Its description in RNAcentral is "miRNA (ENSMLUG00000026265.1)". Lineage: Eukaryota; Metazoa; Chordata; Mammalia; Chiroptera; Vespertilionidae. The record is from RNAcentral.
UCACCGGAGGAUCUUGUUAAGUGUGGUCUCCAAUACAGUUAAUGUGGGGGUGGGGCCUGAGAUUCUGCAAUUCUAACAAGCUCUCUGGUGAUGCC